This 410-nucleotide RNase P RNA is filed under the name Fidelibacterota bacterium. Its description in RNAcentral is "RNase P RNA component class A". It matches the Rfam family "Bacterial RNase P class A". From Rfam's summary of the family: Ribonuclease P (RNase P) is a ubiquitous endoribonuclease, found in archaea, bacteria and eukarya as well as chloroplasts and mitochondria. Lineage: Bacteria; Pseudomonadati; Fidelibacterota. The record is from RNAcentral.
UGAGUUGGUCGGAUAGUUACUCUUGGCGAGCGUAAGCACUCCGAGAGAGGAAAGUCCGGGCACUGCAGAACAGGAUGCCUCAUAAUGAGAGGAGAUUCGCAUUUGCGAACCAUGGAAAGUGCAGCAGAAAGUAAACCGCCUUCGAUGAGCAUAAGGCUUGCCUUGUAUUUGUCAUAGGUAAGGGUGAAAGGGUGGUGUAAGAGACCACCAGAUUCUGAAUAAAUUCAGUAUGCUUGUAAACCCCAUCCAGUGCAAGAUCGAAUAGGCUUCGAGAUGUUGUUCGCAUCGUUAAAGGAGCGGGUAGAUUGCUUGAUCACAAUGGUAACGUUGUGGCUAGACGAAUGACUAUCCCUUUGUAUUGGAAUUAUUAAUCCAAAGGACAGAACUCGGCUUAUAGACCAACUCAAAUU